Molecule: non-coding RNA, 194 nt
Organism: Brachypodium distachyon (stiff brome)
Lineage: Eukaryota; Viridiplantae; Streptophyta; Magnoliopsida; Poales; Poaceae
Source: RefSeq, marked provisional
UACUUGUGCACAACAUGGCGUUUUACUCCCUCCGUGACAUAUUAAGUGACGAAAUAUUACACAUAUCUAGAAGAUUUUUGGUAUAGAUAGAUACAUCUAUAUUUGGACAGAUUUGAGUCACUUAAUAUGGGACGGAAGAAUUACAAAACAAGAUGUUAAAUCUGUACAAUCCUAUCCGUUUUUAGAUAAUCAUG